This 291-nucleotide small RNA is filed under the name Malus domestica (apple). RNAcentral describes it as "sRNA MD11G0233200". It matches the Rfam family "Bacterial large subunit ribosomal RNA", at positions 2306 to 2573 of the family's 2925-position model. Lineage: Eukaryota; Viridiplantae; Streptophyta; Magnoliopsida; Rosales; Rosaceae. The record is from RNAcentral.
AAAUUUAAUGAGCUCCAUUUCGAAAAUUUGACAUUAUUAAAUAUGAGAGAAUGGAGUUUGAUUACUAGACCCACCCGUCAAGCUGGGAUGAAAGUUGACCUUAGUGAUUCGACAAUGUCAAGUAAAGGGGGUCGUCGGUUAAUGGAUAAAAGUUACUCUUGGGUUAACAGGUUUAUAUUUCUCAAAAUCUUAGAUCGAUGGAAAAGUUUGGCACCUCAAUGUCAGCUAUUCACCACCUUUAGGAUCAAAUACGGUAUGCGAGUUAGCUUCGAGGUUGUUCACAUCCGGGCC